RNAcentral lists this long non-coding RNA (421 nucleotides) under Elaeis guineensis (African oil palm). Its description in RNAcentral is "long non-coding RNA (EGUI_LNC045443)". Lineage: Eukaryota; Viridiplantae; Streptophyta; Magnoliopsida; Arecales; Arecaceae. The record is from RNAcentral.
CAGAGCUAAGCUUUAUGCCACCUAAGUAGGCAUUAUUUGUGCCCGACAAGAGCUGUGGGCACAGUGGAUUCUCAUAGAAGGAGAUUCUGCCACCGUUAUUGGUUGGAUUCGAGAUGACGCAAAGUAGCUAGAGGCCCAUCCACUCUUCCAUGACAUAUGGACUUCACUUUAUACUUCCGUUGUGGUGUCUAUUCGGUAUGUCUUUCGAGAGGUGAAUAGCACGCAAAUUAGGUCGUAUCUUACAUUGCUAAGCAUACUGGGAACUAAACCUAGCGAUAUGAUCAGAUUUGUCUAUGAGCCCUGCAGGAUCUUUUAUUUUCUGACUUUAUGGGGUAUUGGUAUACUAGAGUGAUGUGAGUGCUAGCUUGUAUCAAAAAAACAAAAAAUCCAAAUUAGUGAUGCCACAAGCUGAUUCGUGGAG